Andrographis paniculata is the source of this 1182-nucleotide RNA transcript. RefSeq lists it as uncharacterized. The record is from RefSeq and is a predicted model, not a curated record. The transcript has 4 exons. Lineage: Eukaryota; Viridiplantae; Streptophyta; Magnoliopsida; Lamiales; Acanthaceae.
UGCCGCCGAUUCCCGAUCGAGUUAAGAUCCACUGGAUGUAAUAUCGGUACUCCUCCGCCGCGGCGGACGCAUUGGUGGGGCAACGGCUAGUUUUCCCUGGUUCGACGGCGGCGAAUAUUUUCUUACUUUGCAGUUGUCCGAAGAUGUGGAGAUUCUUGGCUUCUUGUUGCCUGAGCUUGUUGCAUGUUUGUUCCUGUUGGUGUCGAAAAGCCGGAGCUUCGGUGAAAAUGACAAUGUUGCCCAUUGCUUGGCACCAGGGCUAGGGCUGUUUUCAUCUCCCAAAUCCCUGGAAUUUGUCUUGGCAGGUUUGAGCCUGGGAAUAAGAUUUUCAUCCCUUCUGAUGUCCUUAUAUUUUUCGGGGUUUACAUUGGUGAUGUCAAGGCCAACUCUUCUACUCACACUUUGUUUUAUCUGCUUGACAAUUUGCUUCGCGUAAUGCCCUGGACUUCUGUUCUCAUCCUGAACCUGGCGCCGGAGUCUCCCUGGUGCCCUGAUUCUACCUGGCAAUGAUCUGAUGCCAACGCCGACGUCAUCUGCGGAAAAUGUGGUUCUUGAUCUAACCUGGAGAAGAUUUCUGUCCUUUCUCAGGGAUUUCAUGCUGGGCCCGGAGUUGGAAGAGGAUAGCGAUGGAGAAGUGCAUUCUGGGAGUAAAUCCAGGCCCAUCAACCUUGCUACCAGAUUCGGGGUCUUCGUCCCUGGUGAGGUGGUCGAAGGAAAGGGUCAGCAUCAGGGAGGUGGAAAUGGGAGGAAUGGUGGUGGUUCAAAUUCAAUGGAACCUGGAAAUCGAAGAGCUGGAAAACAGAGCACAUGCAGCCUGUUGAAGUGUCUUCAAGAGGUUCUUUCCUGGUGGAGGGCCUCGCCACUCCUCCGCCACCCUGGCGGCCGCCGCCGGCCAAGUACAGCCAGUCUCUGCCUCCCAUGGUAUGGAGGUCACUGAUUCACUCAAGCAAGCAAACUGAGCCUGAUUCUUGUAAUGGUUAUGGAGGGGAGCGAUAAAUUCGGAUCCAGGCAAGACCCUCUUUCUCUCUCUUCACUUUUUUCUUUCUUCUCUCUCUUAGAGCAAUGUCUGUCAGUUGCUGUCCAUCGUCAUCUCUCCCUGAAUUUUAAAUCCGAGGUAGUUUUAUAUAUAUAUUUUGGGGGAUCAGUGUUAUUUAUUUAUAUAUAUUCUGCCGCUGCUGAUCU